This 378-nucleotide long non-coding RNA is filed under the name Monodelphis domestica (gray short-tailed opossum). Its description in RNAcentral is "lncRNA (ENSMODG00000032527.2)". The record is from RNAcentral. Lineage: Eukaryota; Metazoa; Chordata; Mammalia; Didelphimorphia; Didelphidae.
UUGGUUUUAGAGAACAGGAAGAAGAGCAGUGAUGGAAAUUGCAAACAGGCAGAUUUAAGCUGGUUGUCAGGGGAAAAAACUUCCUAUCAAAGAGAGGGUCCGAGACUCCAAGAGAGGACGAGCCAACCUCUACAAAGAGAGAGAAUCAGUUAAGGAGGGAUCAGUUGAAGGUAAGGGAUCAAAUGCUAUCUCAGGCAUGGGGUGACCCUGGACAAGUCACUUAAUCUCCCUGACUAUCAGUUCCUUUUAUAUAAAAUGGGAAUCAUAAAACCAGCUCCCAGAGUUGAUCUGAAGAUCAGUCAGUCAUUCAAGACUUUUGUUAAACAUUUAUGAUGUGCCGGGCACUGAGCUAAGAGCUAGGUCAAAUUUUGUUGUGGU